CAGACGCCGCCGCCUUAAGCCUUUUCCCAUCAGCCAUGGUCAACCCCACCAUGUUCUUCGACAUCGCCGUUGACGGCGAGCCCUUGGGCUGCAUCUCCUUCGAGCUGUUUGCAGACAAAGUUCCAAAGACAGCAGAAAACUUUCAUGUUCUGAGCACUGGAGAGAAAGGAUUCGGUUAUAAGGGUUCCUGCUUUCACAGAAUUAUUCCAGGGUUUAUGUGCCAGGGUGGUGACUUUACACGCCAUAAUGGCACUGGCGGCAAGUCCAUCUAUGGGGAGAAAUUUGAUGAAGAGAACUUCAUCUUGAAGCAUACAGGUCCCAGCAUCUUGUCCAUGGCAAAUGCUGGACCCAACACAAACGGUUCCCAGUUUUUCAUCUGCACUACUAAGACUGAAUGGUUGAAUGGCAAGCAUGUGGUUUUUGGCAAGGUGAAAGAGGGCAUGAAUGUUAUAUAAGCCACGGAGGGCUUUGCGUCCAAGAAUGGCAAGACCAGCAAGAAGAUUACCAUUGCUGACUGUGGACAACUCUAGUAAAUUUGACUUGUUUUAUCUUAAAGUACCAGAUCAUUCCUUCUGUAGCUCAGGAGAGCACCCCUCCAUCCCGUUUGCUCGCAGUAUCCCUAUAAUCUCUGUGCUCUCGCUACAAUUCUUUGGGUUCCAUAUUUUCCUUAUUCCCUUCCACGUCUAGUUGGAU
Carlito syrichta (Philippine tarsier) is the source of this 693-nucleotide RNA transcript. It is a transcript of the gene named peptidyl-prolyl cis-trans isomerase A pseudogene, with no coding region annotated. The record is from RefSeq and is a predicted model, not a curated record. The transcript has a single exon. NCBI's taxonomy places the organism in Eukaryota, Metazoa, Chordata, Mammalia, Primates, Tarsiidae.